UGCAUAUUCGAAGGGUUUGAUUCAAACACAGAAUGAAACUUAGUGAUUUUAAUAGUGAUGCUAUUUUUCAUUCUUCUGCUGUGAAAAUUUUUGAAAACCUUUUUGGAACAGAAUUCUUGAAACUCUGUGAAGUUGAAUUCUUCAGGACUUACCUAACAUAGCGCUGACGUGUGCCACCAUUUUAGGAGAAGGCAUAGGGCGCUGUUUGGGGGGGAAAAAAGCUCUGGUCUUUGGAAAUGCAGGGUUAUUUUUAGCUAGAGUGGAAGGAAUUCAUCUCUUCCACCAGCUCACGUGGAAGGUCCAUUGCCGAAGUGCCGUUAACUUCAGGCAAAUUAUUCUCCUUGAUGCCACAGGCAGAACAGAUGCCUUUGUACAGAGGUGAAUUGAAUCAGCUGUUUUCCACCAGUGCAGCAACAUGUAAUAACGUGUGUAAUCAUACAGGAGGGUAUGUGGAAAAUUGACCUCUGCCACAUGAACAGAAAAAGGAAAUACCUUCCACUGGCACUAAAUCCUAAUGCAAAAAACUGAUGCUAUUGUUGUUGAUGCUGUUCAGUAUUAUCCCAGACUUCAUCCUUUGUUUGGAUAAGUGGUUUGUUUUAAGUGCUAUGACACCUUAAAGAAGCACGUAGAGGAAGUCAGUCAUUAGACAAAAAUAAUCUGUGAUUUCUACCAGGGUGGAACAUGAAGUAACCGCUCACCAAGCCAUUUAUGUCAUGAAAAGUGACUUUAUUUAUUUAUUUAUUUUCUGUUGUUGUUGUGUGAUCCAAAACAUGGGAAGUUGCUUCUUUUCCAGUCAUGAUGAGCUAAGGUUUAUUUAUUGCUAGCAGUUCAAUUGGAAUGAUGGCAGAAAAGGCCUGAAUCUCUUAAAAUCUGCAGGGAGCAGUCAGAUAGAAAAGAAAUGUUCUUCCUAGUAACAGUCUGUUGUUGCAGAUCGCAUGUAAUGUUUGGAGGCUGCCAUUAGCUAUAGGAGCCAGACAAGAUAAGGAGAUCACUACAAAUGACAGAAACCUCCAAGAAUCUUAAUGGAGACUUUUGUACAGGUUGAGCUGCUGAAAGAGCAAUUCAAAAAGAAACUUCUAGGUUGAAAUAGCAUUACUGUUCUGAUGAGAGUGGAGCCACAAACUGAUGUUCAUUGAACUAUUUCUGAAAGUUGGAUUGGUGUCAGCUCCAGACUCUCUCCAUGUGUUAGAUGCAGUGCCUUCCUUUGCAGUGCAGAAUGCAUAAUGAGAAGUAUGAAUCUGACCAUUCCUAACUUCAAUCUUUUUCUCUCUUCUCUUUCUCCAAUCCUCCUCAUCAGAUUGUGACAGCAGUGAAAUUUUUACAGAAUCCCCGAGUCCGCCAAAGUCCAAUUGCAACCAGAAGAGCAUUUCUGAAGAAGAAAGAUUGAGGAGCUGCAUUACAAGAGAUACUCCUUUGAUGAUAAUGGUGUUGUGAAGAAGCCAUUCAGGGAGACUCUCAAAUUCCAUGUCCUGUUCAACCUACGGUGAUCUUGAACCAUUUAGGUAUACGCUGCGCAGAACAAGAGAGGUGAUUCAUUUAGAUUACAUUAGAUAAACAGUGUGCUACAUCUCCUGUUUCUCUUGGGCCAUGAAAAUUCCAGUGUAGAGUCCAGAAUCACCUUUGAUGUGAUUUUGUAGCUUGAAAAUUAUUGAUAAAUUGGAACAGACUGUUUUGGUUCAUGGGAAAUUGCAUACGCUCUAAAAUAUCAGUUGUAGGCUUAAUUUUAAAAAAAUAAUUAGAAUGUCAUGGGUUUAAUAGUGUCUCUCCACUUGGCGAUCUGACAGUAACUGCGUAAUGUAAAAGAGCUGUUAAAAAUGGCUUUGCAAAAUUAACUUCUAUUGCUCCAUGAGUGUGUUUUGAGUCAUAUUUGUCUUGUUUACUGUCAAAAUAAUAUUUCCAUUCCUGGUAGCAUUUCAAAACCAAUAUGAUUACAGCAGAGUGGGUUGAGGUCUGUUCUGGAAGAUGAUGCAAAAGUAGUCAGCGGUAUUCUGAGUCCUGAAAUAGUUAGCCUUAGUAGUGGGCAAAAAGGACCCAGUUCCUGAGUCCAACUUGUAAAUUAACACAUCCUUUAUCAUGUUCUUAAGUGAAAAUAAAUACAGAUUGCCAAAAGAAAAGCACCUUUGUAGUUGCAGUCUAAAAGCAGACAUGGAAGAUCUGAGGAUAGACGACAUACUUGGCUUUGGGCAAGAUGCUUGUUCUCAGCUUGCCCACCUGUGAAAUGGAGUUAAUUACCACUUUUGUAUCAGUGGCAGUUAGAUAUGUUUUAACUAUGUUAAUAAACUGCUUUUAUACGCUUGUUUUGGAAUUGUUGAUGCUGUAGUGUGUUUUGUGAUUGUUGAAGCUGCUUGCUGCAGUAAGAGCCACUCUUUACAGAGAAUUUACUUCCAUCAGGUUUGUAUGGGAGGGGAGAGCUGCAAACUUGAGAAUGUCAGGAUGUCAAGGCUUGGGCACAUUGCGUGCAAUCCUAAUCCAGCCCUGCAGCUUUGACCUUUGAAGCAAGCUUCACCUUGAGACAGAUGAAGAAAUCUAGUUUUUGUUUGUAUAAAAAUAUUUUUGCUACAGAGGGAAUUUGCUCUCUGUGGUCAUUCAGCCCAGGGCUUCCCCACAGUCUUCCUGGAGCAAAUAAAGGAAUUCAGUUCCUGAUCUGCUCUGUGAAUGAACCUGGUAUCGUAAGUCUAAAGAGACAGCCUUCUCUCUUGGGGCUAAAACAAGGAGUGGAGUGUAAUUAGGUUAAUCUGUGUUGCUCUUCUGCUGAAAUCCAUCUCAGACCUAAUGAUACUUUCCUGCUAGGAAAGAUAAAAGAAGUUCGUGCAUGAGAUAAUUCUGUAGGAUCUCUUAGACAACAUCUCUGCUGUGUUUAAAACACUAGGUCUUGGAUGCACACAGACAUGAAAUCCUAUUAUUUACUUUUCUGCUACACACUGUUCCCUCUUAAUUCUCAUUUGGAAAGCAAUCAUUCUUUUCUUAGCUAAAAGUAGAAUUUAGUCUUUGCUUCAUUCUUUCCUAUCCUUUCUGAUGAGUCCAGGCGAGACUACGCUCCCCUAGGAGGAGAGCAGAGAAUUCAUUCUCAAUGAAAUCUGAGGCUCUCUUAAGUAAAAGCUGUUGACUUUGUCAUUC
Molecule: non-coding RNA, 3117 nt
Organism: Meleagris gallopavo (turkey)
Lineage: Eukaryota; Metazoa; Chordata; Aves; Galliformes; Phasianidae
Source: RefSeq, a predicted model, not a curated record